ACCCAGGUGGUCCAAUGGUUAGGACGUUCCCCCUUUUCUGGCGCUCGCGCCGGACAGAUUGGGAUAGAUCAGGGUUCAAGUCCCUGCUUGGGCA
Non-coding RNA from Cladochytrium tenue, 94 nucleotides. NCBI's taxonomy places the organism in Eukaryota, Fungi, Chytridiomycota, Chytridiomycetes, Cladochytriales, Cladochytriaceae. The record is from the annotation of a GenBank genome assembly.